ACGUCUCAUCGAAAAUACAAACCGCCGUCGGUUAAUUAAUUCCGAGAUGCAAUUUUUUUGCCGCACAUCAAGGGGCUAUUGGGCCGGAACCAUUCGCACGGAUGGAGGCGACGUGGAUGGAGAUGACGUGGCUCAAUCUGGGACAGGUGCAUCGAAUCGUCGGAUCGAGGAAGGGCCCAGGCACUGCCAUGUGUCAACAUCCGAAAAACCCUCGUUCGACAUGCUUUCAACUCGACCGUUGAAGGGCCUUAUAUAUAU
RNAcentral lists this long non-coding RNA (258 nucleotides) under Elaeis guineensis (African oil palm). RNAcentral's name for it is "long non-coding RNA (EGUI_LNC012612)". Lineage: Eukaryota; Viridiplantae; Streptophyta; Magnoliopsida; Arecales; Arecaceae. The record is from RNAcentral.